RNAcentral lists this small RNA (29 nucleotides) under Bombyx mori (domestic silkworm). RNAcentral's name for it is "ovarian small RNA-21911". Lineage: Eukaryota; Metazoa; Arthropoda; Insecta; Lepidoptera; Bombycidae. The record is from RNAcentral.
UAGACCACUUGAUUUUUCGCCUCGAUGGA